RNAcentral lists this long non-coding RNA (984 nucleotides) under Rattus norvegicus (Norway rat). Its description in RNAcentral is "long non-coding RNA NONRATT023734". The record is from RNAcentral. Lineage: Eukaryota; Metazoa; Chordata; Mammalia; Rodentia; Muridae.
GGGAGAUCAUCCCAUACCAGAGAGAAAGCAAGCAGAUGGAGUGGUGCUACGCUGCCUUUCCUGUGAAGGUCCAGGAACACUUGGAUGCAGUUUUCCUCACUGUCAACACGUGCUCCCUCCACAGAGCCAUCUUGUUCCUUCCAGUUCUAGCCACUGCCUCCCAAAAUGAGACCCUCCCCCAAGGAGGGCUGUGAAUGACCCAGAGCUCUGUGAUGGUCUCUCUGCCCUCCUUUCUAUAGACAGAGACUCUGAUGCCUCAGCCACUGACCCCACGGGGACUUGACAGGGACCCUCACCACAAGCAGUCUCUUUGGACUCCAGGGAAGAACGAUGGCUGCUUGGUUUUAAUCACAGCUGCUAUUUCUUCAGUGCCAACCAUGUACAGGGUUCCUCGUCUCUCCUAGACAUGGCCCUGCAAUUCCACGAGACCCGUGCAAUAACGACAACCACACUGUGGGCUGGGAAGCCCAGAGACAGCAUGCUGACUCCCCCAGGUCACACAGCCAGCAAGUGGUCUUGGACCCCAGCACAACACACUUUUCUUACCAUACUCUGCUACCACUGAUCCUCACACAGCUCACCAUGGUCACAUCCCAGGUCCCCAGGGUCACUGCUCUCUAUGCAUGGCCCCAGCCUAGCUGCUAUCAGAGCCAGAGGGAGUGCCUGCCUAGACCCCACUCUAACAAUCUCCUGCCCCCACCUCCACCGGCCUGAGCUGUCCGUGGCCAUAGCUCUCAACCGGGGGUAUCUGGCUGAUUUCACCGGACUGCGCUUUCCUCUGGUCAAUGUUGGGGGUCAGAAAUGUUGGGGGUCAGAAAGGGAUGGGGCCAGGGCCCCGCUAGCCCCCAGUGUUGUGACCAAGAAAAUCUCACCAGCUGCAUCCAGUGGCAACCUUGACCCUGUGGGUUACUCCGAUGUCUUUGUAGGAGUAUUUUUAGCUGAAUCUUUUUUUUUUUCAAAAUAAAUGUGAAUUGUAAAAAUAAA